CAGCCCCCUCUCCAAUUUUCAUCCAUUUGCACAGCACAGCCGCUGCCAUCGUUUGUUUAUUGAACUAGCUUUGAUUAAUUAAUUAUGGCUAAGUUUAUUGGAGUAGCCUUGAUUCGUUUGUUCGUUGAGUGUAUGAUAAUGGGAAUUAGUACUGCUGAUGUUCAUCUUUGAGUUUGUUGAGUUUGUUAAUUGCAUAAUUAUUUCGAUUAGGUAAUGUUUUAGAGAAUUUGAUGUGCUUUGCUAUGUAACAAGUUUCCACUUUUCAUUGUGCCAAUCAUAAAUCUAUGGCUUUUGGGUAACAAGUUUCAGGUUUCUUCCAUCGCAUUCUUUCAAAUUCUAUCAUUUUGCAUUUAUGAAAUUAUAUAAACUUAUCUCUCUGAGCUUCCCAUCUUCAAUUUUUCUUCUAAUGCAUCAUUAUUAUGCUUGAUGUGGCAAUUAUCUCUAUAACUUAAUCAUACUUACUUUUGAUUUUAAAAUUUAUAUUGUUGAGUGUGGACCUCCUUCAUUGGCAAUUAUUGUUAGCCUAUGAUUUAAGCAUUUGCAUUAAUGAAAUUAUAUAAACUUGUCUCUCUGAGCUUCCCAUCUUCAAUUUUUCUUCAUUAGGAGGGAGAUGUCAUGUGAUCCUUUUGAGGAAGCAUUCGAUGCUGUAAAUGAGAUGGAAUCACUUGGAGAUAGCAUGGUAACUAGUAUAGAAACCUCAGAAGAGUGGAAUACUUGGAGGACAAAUUUAGCACAAGAGAUGUAUCAUCAACGGAGAGCAAGUAGACAGAGCACAUGAAAACUCCUUAAAAAAAUUGUUAUUUUUUGUUAUUCCAUUUGCUGGAUUGUACAUGUAGUAUUAGUUUCUGACUUUGGAGAUUUUGUAUUCUGGUACAUCUCUCUUAAUGGUUAAAUGUGAUAAUGUGAUAUCGAUGUUUUAUUUUAUUUUAUCACUUUGUCCAUAG
Molecule: long non-coding RNA, 944 nt
Filed under: Citrus x clementina
Lineage: Eukaryota; Viridiplantae; Streptophyta; Magnoliopsida; Sapindales; Rutaceae
Description: Citrus clementina (C. clementina) long non-coding RNA (CCLE_LNC002673)
Source: RNAcentral